This 460-nucleotide ribosomal RNA is filed under the name uncultured bacterium. RNAcentral describes it as "SSU rRNA". It matches the Rfam family "Bacterial small subunit ribosomal RNA", at positions 26 to 518 of the family's 1533-position model. The record is from RNAcentral.
AGAAUCAACGCUGGCGGCGUGCCUAACACAUGCAAGUCGAACGAGAAAGUGGGAGCAAUCCCAUUAGUAAAGUGGCGCACGGGUGAGUAACACGUGACUAACCUACCCUUGAGUGGGGGAUAACCUAGGGAAACCUGGGCUAAUACCGCAUAAUACCUACGGGUCAAAGGAGCAAUUCGCUUUAGGAGGGGGUCGCGGCAGAUUAGUUAGUUGGCGGGGUAAUGGCCCACCAAGACAGUGAUCUGUAUCCGGCCUGAGAGGGCGCACGGACACACUGGAACUGAAACACGGUCCAGACUCCUACGGGAGGCAGCAGUGGGAAUUUGCGCAAUGGGGGAAACCCUGACGCAGCAACGCCGCGUGGAGGAUGAAGUCCCUUGGGACGUAAACUCCUUUCGAUCGGGACGAUAAUGACGGUACCGAGAGAAGAAGCCCCGGCUAACUUCGCGCCAGCAGCCGC